Molecule: ribosomal RNA, 127 nt
Filed under: Bacillus mojavensis
Lineage: Bacteria; Bacillati; Bacillota; Bacilli; Caryophanales; Bacillaceae
Source: RNAcentral
UUCCACGGGCAAACGAAACGGAUCUUUCACUGGUCACACCCGUUCCCAUGCCGAACACGGAAGUUAAGCUCUUCAGCGCCGAUGGUAGUCGGGGGUUUCCCCCUGUGAGAGUAGGACGCCGCCAAGC